UUGAACGCUGGCGGCAUGCUUUACACAUGCAAGUCGAACGGUAACAGGUCUUCGGAUGCUGACGAGUGGCGAACGGGUGAGUAAUGCAUCGGAACGUGCCCAGUCGUGGGGGAUAACGCAGCGAAAGCUGUGCUAAUACCGCAUACGAUCUAUGGAUGAAAGCGGGGGAUCGCAAGACCUCGCGCGAUUGGAGCGGCCGAUGUCAGAUUAGCUAGUUGGUGGGGUAAAGGCCCACCAAGGCGACGAUCUGUAGCUGGUCUGAGAGGACGACCAGCCACACUGGGACUGAGACACGGCCCAGACUCCUACGGGAGGCAGCAGUGGGGAAUUUUGGACAAUGGGGGCAACCCUGAUCCAGCCAUUCCGCGUGAGUGAAGAAGGCCUUCGGGUUGUAAAGCUCUUUCAGCAGGAGCGAAACGGUCGUUUUUAAUACAGACGGCUAAUGACGGUACCUGCAGAAGAAGCACCGGCUAACUACGU
Molecule: ribosomal RNA, 480 nt
Filed under: uncultured bacterium
Lineage: Bacteria
Description: bacterial SSU rRNA
Rfam family: Bacterial small subunit ribosomal RNA
Source: RNAcentral